RNAcentral lists this ribosomal RNA (120 nucleotides) under uncultured bacterium. RNAcentral's name for it is "partial 16S ribosomal RNA". It matches the Rfam family "Bacterial small subunit ribosomal RNA", at positions 28 to 148 of the family's 1533-position model. The record is from RNAcentral.
GACGAACGCUGGCGGCGUGCUUAACACAUGCAAGUCGAGCGGUAAGGCUCCUUCGGGAGUACACGAGCGGCGAACGGGUGAGUAACACGUGAGCAAUCUGCCCUUCACACUGGGAUACCC